UACGUAGGUGGCAAGCGUUGUCCGGAAUUACUGGGCGUAAAGCGUGCGUAGGCGGUUGGCUAAGUCAGAUGUGAAAGCCCUGGGCUCAACCUGGGAAUGGCAUUUGAAACUGGCUGGCUAGAGUGUGAUAGAGGAUGGCGGAAUUCCCGGUGUAGCGGUGAAAUGCGUAGAGAUCGGGAGGAACAUCCGUGGCGAAGGCGGCCAUCUGGAUCAACACUGACGCUGAGGCACGAAAGCGUGGGGAGCAAACAGG
Molecule: ribosomal RNA, 253 nt
Filed under: uncultured bacterium
Lineage: Bacteria
Description: partial 16S ribosomal RNA
Rfam family: Bacterial small subunit ribosomal RNA
Source: RNAcentral